Molecule: ribosomal RNA, 497 nt
Filed under: uncultured bacterium
Lineage: Bacteria
Description: partial 16S ribosomal RNA
Rfam family: Bacterial small subunit ribosomal RNA
Source: RNAcentral
GAUGAACGCUGGCGGCGUGCCUAAUACAUGCAAGUCGAGCGAACGGACGAGAAGCUUGCUUUUCUGAUGUUAGCGGCGGACGGGUGAGUAACACGUGGAUAACCUACCUAUAAGACUGGGAUAACUUCGGGAAACCGGAGCUAAUACCGGAUAAUAUUUUGAACCGCAUGGUUCAAAAGUGAAAGACGGUCUUGCUGUCACUUAUAGAUGGAUCCGCGCUGCAUUAGCUAGUUGGUAAGGUAACGGCUUACCAAGGCAACGAUGCAUAGCCGACCUGAGAGGGUGAUCGGCCACACGGGAACUGAGACACGGUCCAGGCGCCUAAGGGAGGCAGCAGUAGGGAAUCUUCCGCAAUGGGCGAAAGCCUGACGGAGCAACGCCGCGUGAGUGAUGAAGGUCUUCGGAGCGUAAAACUCUGUUAUUAGGGAAGAACAUAUGUGUAAGUAACUGUGCACAUCUUGACGGUACCUAAUCAGAAAGCCACGGCUAACUACGUG